GAUGAACGCUAGCUACAGGCUUAACACAUGCAAGUCGAGGGGAAACGAUAUUGGAAGCUUGCUUCCGAUAGGCGUCGACCGGCGCACGGGUGAGUAACGCGUAUCCAACCUGCCCACCACUUGGGAAUAACCUUGCGAAGAUAAGACUAAUACCCAAUGAUAUCUCAAGAAGACAUCUGAAUGAGAUUAAAGAUUUAUCGGUGAUGGAUGGGGAUGCGUCUGAUUAGCUUGUUGGCGGGGUAACGGCCCACCAAGGCGACGAUCAGUAGGGGUUCUGAGAGGAAGGUCCCCCACAUUGGAACUGAGACACGGUCCAAACUCCUACGGGAGGCAGCAGUGAGGAAUAUUGGUCAAUGGGCGAGAGCCUGAACCAGCCAAGUAGCGUGCAGGAUGACGGCCCUAUGGGUUGUAAACUGCUUUUAUAAGGGAAUAAAGUGAGUCUCGUGAGACUUUUUGCAUGUACCUUAUGAAUAAGGACCGGCUAAUUCCGUGCCAGCCGCCGCCGUAA
RNAcentral lists this ribosomal RNA (508 nucleotides) under uncultured bacterium. Its description in RNAcentral is "partial 16S ribosomal RNA". It matches the Rfam family "Bacterial small subunit ribosomal RNA", at positions 28 to 523 of the family's 1533-position model. The record is from RNAcentral.